Molecule: long non-coding RNA, 163 nt
Organism: Agrilus planipennis (emerald ash borer)
Lineage: Eukaryota; Metazoa; Arthropoda; Insecta; Coleoptera; Buprestidae
Exons: 3
Source: RefSeq, a predicted model, not a curated record
AGAUUGAAAAGCCACCGAACCACCGGAAGUAGGUCGCAUGUGGCUAUCACCAUCUUGAAACUUACGAUUGGAUUUCUCAGAAUCGAAAUGCAAACAACAAUCGUUGCAAUGGUCAACCACAUAAGCGGAAUGCUCCCGUUAUUGAUAAUUAAGAAGAACAGUG